CCUUGAGACGGGGAUAACCCCGGGAAACUGGGUAUAAUACCCGAUAGAUCUCGAUUGCUGGAAUGCAUCGAGAUUGAAAGCUCCGGCGCCUAAGGAUGGGUCUGCGGCCUAUCAGGUAGUAGUGGGUGUAGCGUACCUACUAGCCUACGACGGGUACGGGUUGUGAGAGCAAGAGCCCGGAGAUGGAUUCUGAGACACGAAUCCAGGCCCUACGGGGUGCAGCAGGCGCGAAAACUUUACAAUGCUGGCAACGGCGAUAAGGGGACCUCGAGUGCCAGGUUACAAAUCUGGCUGUCGUGAUGCCUAAAAAGCAUUGCAUAGCAAGGGCCGGGCAAGACCGGUGCCAGCCGCCGCGGUAACACCGGCGGCUCGAGUGGUAACCGUUAUUAUUGGGUCUAAAGGGUCUGUAGCCGGCCGGAUAAGCCUCUUGGGAAAUCCAGCAGCUCAACUGUUGGGCUUUCAGGAGAUACUGUCUGGCUCGAGGCCGGGAGAGGUGAGAGGUACUUCAGGGGUAGGGGUGAAAUCUUGUAAUCCUUGAAGGACCACCAGUGGCGAAGGCGUCUCACCAGAACGGACCUGACGGCAAGGGACGAAAGCUAGGGGCACGAACCGGAUUAGAUACCCGGGUAGUCCUAGCCGUAAACGAUACUCGCUAGGUGUCGGCCACGGUGCGACCGUUGUCGGUGCCGUAGGGAAGCCGUGAAGCGAGCCACCUGGGAAGUACGGCCGCAAGGCUGAAACUUAA
This 745-nucleotide ribosomal RNA is filed under the name uncultured archaeon. RNAcentral describes it as "bacterial SSU rRNA". It matches the Rfam family "Archaeal small subunit ribosomal RNA", at positions 113 to 859 of the family's 1478-position model. The record is from RNAcentral.